GUAUCAAUCAUCAUCAUCAUCAUUAUCAACCGAUAGACGUCCACUGUUGGACAUAGGUCUCUUGUAUGGACUUCGACGAGCCACGAUCUUUCGCUGCCUGAACCAGCGACUCCCUGCGACUCAUUGGAUGUUGUCCG
Long non-coding RNA from Maniola jurtina (meadow brown), 137 nucleotides. RefSeq lists it as uncharacterized. The transcript is spliced from 3 exons. The record is from RefSeq and is a predicted model, not a curated record. Lineage: Eukaryota; Metazoa; Arthropoda; Insecta; Lepidoptera; Nymphalidae.